This 254-nucleotide ribosomal RNA is filed under the name uncultured bacterium. RNAcentral describes it as "partial 16S ribosomal RNA". It matches the Rfam family "Bacterial small subunit ribosomal RNA", at positions 524 to 776 of the family's 1533-position model. The record is from RNAcentral.
UACGUAGGGUGCAAGCGUUUGUCCGGAAUUAUUGGGCGUAAAGAGCUCGUAGGCGGUCUGUCGCGUCGGCUGUGAAAACUCGGGGCUCAACUCCGAGCUUGCAGUCGAUACGGGCAGGCUAGAGUUCGGCAGGGGAGACUGGAAUUCCUGGUGUAGCGGUGAAAUGCGCAGAUAUCAGGAGGAACACCGGUGGCGAAGGCGGGUCUCUGGGCCGAUACUGACACUGAGGAGCGAAAGCGUGGGGAGCGAACAGG